ACAUCGGUGGUUUAGUGGUAGAAUCCUUACCUUCUGUGGGGGAGACCUGGGUUUAAUUCCCAGCCAAAGUA
This 71-nucleotide transfer RNA is filed under the name Loxodonta africana (African savanna elephant). It matches the Rfam family "tRNA". From Rfam's summary of the family: Transfer RNA (tRNA) molecules are approximately 80 nucleotides in length. Their secondary structure includes four short double-helical elements and three loops (D, anti-codon, and T loops). Further hydrogen bonds mediate the characteristic L-shaped molecular structure. tRNAs have two regions of fundamental functional importance: the anti-codon, which is responsible for specific mRNA codon recognition, and the 3' end, to which the tRNAs corresponding amino acid is attached (by aminoacyl-tRNA synthetases). tRNAs cope with the degeneracy of the genetic code in two manners: having more than one tRNA (with a specific anti-codon) for a particular amino acid; and 'wobble' base-pairing, i.e. permitting non-standard base-pairing at the 3rd anti-codon position. Lineage: Eukaryota; Metazoa; Chordata; Mammalia; Proboscidea; Elephantidae. The record is from Rfam by way of RNAcentral.